CUCUUUGGUUAUCUAGCUGUAUGAGUUAUGAAAUAUCAUAAAGCUAGAGAACCGAAAGU
Non-coding RNA from Danio rerio (zebrafish), 59 nucleotides. The record is from Rfam. Lineage: Eukaryota; Metazoa; Chordata; Actinopteri; Cypriniformes; Danionidae.